RNAcentral lists this ribosomal RNA (404 nucleotides) under uncultured bacterium. RNAcentral's name for it is "bacterial SSU rRNA". It matches the Rfam family "Bacterial small subunit ribosomal RNA", at positions 355 to 776 of the family's 1533-position model. The record is from RNAcentral.
UGGGGAAUCUUGGACAAUGGGCGCAAGCCUGAUCCAGCCAUGCCGCGUGAGUGAAGAAGGUCUUCGGAUUGUAAAGCUCUUUUGCCAGGGACGAUAAUGACGGUACCUGGAGAAUAAGCCCCGGCAAACUUCGUGCCAGCAGCCGCGGUAAUACGAAGGGGGCUAGCGUUGUUCGGAAUUACUGGGCGUAAAGCGCACGUAGGCGGGCUAUUAAGUCAGGGGUGAAAUCCCGGAGCUCAACUCCGGAACUGCCUUUGAUACUGGUAGUCUAGAGAUCGGAAGAGGUUAGUGGAAUUCCCAGUGUAGAGGUGAAAUUCGUAGAUAUUGGGAAGAACACCAGUGGCGAAGGCGGCUAACUGGUCCGAUACUGACGCUGAGGUGCGAAAGCGUGGGGAGCAAACAGG